AUUGAACGCUGGCGGCAUGCUUUACACAUGCAAGUCGAGCGGCAGCGCGGGGCAACCUGGCGGCGAGCGGCGAACGGGUGAGUAACACAUCGGAACGUAUCUUCAAGGUGGGGGAUAACCUAUCGAAAGGUAGGCUAAUACCGCAUAAGCAAGGGAUUGGAAAGGCGGGGAGUUCGCGAGGACCUCGCGCUUUUGGAGCGGCCGAUGUCGGAUUAGGUAGUUGGUGGGGUAAAGGCUCACCAAGCCUGCGAUCCGUAGCGGGUCUGAGAGGAUGAUCCGCCACACUGGGACUGAGACACGGCCCAGACUCCUACGGGA
This 318-nucleotide ribosomal RNA is filed under the name uncultured bacterium. RNAcentral describes it as "bacterial SSU rRNA". It matches the Rfam family "Bacterial small subunit ribosomal RNA", at positions 30 to 346 of the family's 1533-position model. The record is from RNAcentral.